This is a non-coding RNA of Rhodofomes roseus, 106 nucleotides long. NCBI's taxonomy places the organism in Eukaryota, Fungi, Basidiomycota, Agaricomycetes, Polyporales, Fomitopsidaceae. The record is from the annotation of a RefSeq genome assembly.
GGACCUGUGGCGCAGCGGUAGCGCGUAAGAUUCCAGUCACGUGACUUUAAGUGUUGAAUCACGUGGAGCUUCCUUAAGGUCAUCCGUUCAAAUCGGGUCAGGUUCA